CAGUCGCCGCGGUAAUACGAAGGGUGCAAGCGUUACUCGGAAUUACUGGGCGUAAAGCGUGUGUAGGUGGUUGUUUAAGUCCGUCGUGAAAGCCCUGGGCUCAACCUGGGAAUUGCGAUGGAUACUGGGCGACUAGAGUGCGGUAGAGGAUAGUGGAAUUUCCGGUGUAGCAGUGAAAUGCGUAGAGAUCGGAAGGAACAUCUGUGGCGAAGGCGACUAUCUGGGCCAACACUGACACUGAGACACGAAAGCGUGGGGAGCAAACAGGAUUAGAUACCCGCGUAGUCCCUGUCUCUUAUAC
Molecule: ribosomal RNA, 301 nt
Filed under: uncultured bacterium
Lineage: Bacteria
Description: partial 16S ribosomal RNA
Rfam family: Bacterial small subunit ribosomal RNA
Source: RNAcentral